RNAcentral lists this ribosomal RNA (253 nucleotides) under uncultured bacterium. Its description in RNAcentral is "partial 16S ribosomal RNA". It matches the Rfam family "Bacterial small subunit ribosomal RNA", at positions 524 to 776 of the family's 1533-position model. The record is from RNAcentral.
UACGAAGGUGGCAAGCGUUGUUCGGAUUCACUGGGCGUACAGGGUGUGUAGGCGGUUUGGUAAGCCUUCUGUUAAAGCUUCGGGCCCAACCCGGAAAGCGCAGAGGGUACUGCCAGGCUAGAGGGCGGGAGAGGGGCGCGGAAUUCCCGGUGUAGCGGUGAAAUGCGUAGAGAUCCGGAGGAACACCAGUGGCGAAGGCGACACGCUGGGCCGUACCUGACACUGAUGCGCGACAGCAUGGGGAGCAAACAGG